RNAcentral lists this ribosomal RNA (216 nucleotides) under Glomeromycotina sp. RNAcentral describes it as "partial small subunit ribosomal RNA". The stretch from base 40 to 216 matches the Rfam family "Eukaryotic small subunit ribosomal RNA", at positions 686 to 864 of the family's 1831-position model. Lineage: Eukaryota; Fungi; Glomeromycota. The record is from RNAcentral.
GGGUCAGUAAGUUGGUCGUGCCACCGGUACGUACUGGUCUCACUGAUUCCUCCUUCCUGAAGAACCGUAAUGCCAUUAAUUUGGUGUUGCGGGGAAACAGGACUGUUACUUUGAAAAAAUCAGAGUGUUUAAAGCAAGCUAACGCUUGAAUACAUUAGCAUGGAAUAAUGAAAUAGGACGAUCGAUCCUAUUUUGUUGGUUUCUAGUAUUGACGUA